CGAAAUGCGAUAAGUAGUGUGAAUUGCGGAAUUCAGUGAAUCAUCGAAUCUUUGAACGCACAUUGCGCCCUUUGGUAUUCCAAAGGGCAUGCCUGUUCGAGCGUCAUUUGUACCCUCAAGCUUUGCUUGGUGUUGGGCGUCUUGUCUCUAGCUUUGCUGGAGACUCGCCUUAAAGUAAUUGGCAGCCGGCCUACUGGUUUCGGAGCGCAGCACAAGUCGCACUCUCUAUCAGCAAAGGUCUAGCAUCCAUUAAGCCUUUUUUCAACUUUUGACCUCGGAUCAGGUAGGGAUACCCGCUGAACUUAAGC
Molecule: unclassified non-coding RNA, 308 nt
Filed under: plant metagenome
Description: partial contains 5.8S ribosomal RNA, internal transcribed spacer 2, and large subunit ribosomal RNA
Rfam family: 5.8S ribosomal RNA (bases 1-106)
Source: RNAcentral